RNAcentral lists this ribosomal RNA (253 nucleotides) under uncultured bacterium. RNAcentral's name for it is "partial 16S ribosomal RNA". It matches the Rfam family "Bacterial small subunit ribosomal RNA", at positions 524 to 776 of the family's 1533-position model. The record is from RNAcentral.
UACAGAGGGGGCAAGCGUUGUUCGGAAUUACUGGGCGUAAAGGGCGCGUAGGCGGCCUUCUAAGUCGAACGUGAAAUCCCCGGGCUCAACCCGGGAACUGCGUCCGAGACUGGACGGCUCGAAUCCGGGAGAGGGAUGUGGAAUUCCAGGUGUAGCGGUGAAAUGCGUAGAUAUCUGGAGGAACAUCGGUGGCGAAGGCGGCAUCCUGGACCGGUAUUGACGCUGAGGCGCGAAAGCCAGGGGAGCAAACGGG